This 577-nucleotide long non-coding RNA is filed under the name Pan troglodytes (chimpanzee). RNAcentral's name for it is "long non-coding RNA NONPTRT013482". The record is from RNAcentral. Lineage: Eukaryota; Metazoa; Chordata; Mammalia; Primates; Hominidae.
UUCACUGGUCCCACUUAUGACCCAAAGGCACAACUUUGUACUGUGGCUGGUGUAGUCUGUGACCAGUAAAAUAAAUAAAUAAAUAAAUGAAUAAAUAAAUAAAUAACAUUUGUAACCUUAGAUUUUUUUUUUUGACCCAGAGGUUCUCAUAAAUGACAUACACAAAAAUGCUCUUUCCCUUUGAGGUGCACUCUCAUUGGUGGAACCAAGAUUCUGUACAAAUGCUGGCCUUACAGUUUGUGAUCAGGAGACUGCUGAAUUGUCUAGAGAAUUUCACAGUGUUGAGAUUAGGUAGAAUGCCCAGAAUGGGAUGGGUAUUUCCUUGCCUUAGUGGAGCAAAAUUAGCCAUAGAUUAAGAAUGUUCCUGCCAGGGGCAGUAGCUCACUCCUGUAAUCCUAGUACUUUGGGAGCCUUGAGCUCAGGAGUUUCAGAGCAGCCUGGGCAACAAGGCAAAAACUCAUCUCUACAAAACAUACAAAAGUUAGCCAGGCAUGAUGGCAUGCACUCAUGGUCUUAGCUACUCAGGAGGCUGAGGUGGGAGGAUCACCUGAGCCUGGGAAGGUCGAGGCUGCUGUAA